This 252-nucleotide ribosomal RNA is filed under the name uncultured prokaryote. RNAcentral describes it as "partial 16S ribosomal RNA". It matches the Rfam family "Bacterial small subunit ribosomal RNA", at positions 525 to 775 of the family's 1533-position model. The record is from RNAcentral.
ACAGAGAUGGCUAGCGUUGUUCGGAUUCAUUGGGUGUAAAGGGUGCGUAGGCGGCCCAGAAAGUCAGAUGUGAAAGCCCACAGCUCAACUGUGGAAUUGCAUUUGAAACUUCUAGGCUGGAGUGUGGGAGAGGUGAAGGGAAUUCCCGGUGUAAGGGUGAAAUCUGCAGAGAUCGGGAGGAACACCAGUGGCGAAGGCGCUUCACUGGCCCACAACUGACGCUGAGAGCACGAAGGCAUGGGGAGCAAACGG